GCGGGCGUAGCUCAGUGGUAGAGUUCCAGCCUUCCAAGCUGGCUGUCGCGGGUUCAAAUCCCGUCGCCCGCUCCA
This 75-nucleotide transfer RNA is filed under the name Nitrospira sp. Its description in RNAcentral is "tRNA-Gly". It matches the Rfam family "tRNA". From Rfam's summary of the family: Transfer RNA (tRNA) molecules are approximately 80 nucleotides in length. Their secondary structure includes four short double-helical elements and three loops (D, anti-codon, and T loops). Further hydrogen bonds mediate the characteristic L-shaped molecular structure. tRNAs have two regions of fundamental functional importance: the anti-codon, which is responsible for specific mRNA codon recognition, and the 3' end, to which the tRNAs corresponding amino acid is attached (by aminoacyl-tRNA synthetases). tRNAs cope with the degeneracy of the genetic code in two manners: having more than one tRNA (with a specific anti-codon) for a particular amino acid; and 'wobble' base-pairing, i.e. permitting non-standard base-pairing at the 3rd anti-codon position. The record is from RNAcentral. RNAcentral also lists the same sequence under 22 other names. Lineage: Bacteria; Pseudomonadati; Nitrospirota; Nitrospiria; Nitrospirales; Nitrospiraceae.